CACUCCUGCGGGAGGCAGCAGUAGGGAAUCUUCCACAAUGGGUGCAAACCUGAUGGAGCAAUGCCGCGUGAGUGAAGAAGGUCUUCGGAUCGUAAAGCUCUGUUGUUAGAGAAGAACACGUGCUAGGUAACUACUAGCGCCUUGACGGUAUCUAACCAGAAAGUCACGGCUAACUACGUGCCAGCAGCCGCGGUAAUACGUAGGUGACAAGCGUUGUCCGGAUUUAUUGGGCGUAAAGGGAGCGCAGGCGGUCUGUUUAGUCUAAUGUGAAAGCCCACGGCUUAACCGUGGAACGGCAUUGGAAACUGACAGACUUGAAUGUAGAAGAGGAAAAUGGAAUUCCAAGUGUAGCGGUGGAAUGCGUAGAUAUUUGGAGGAACACCAGUGGCGAAGGCGAUUUUCUGGUCUAACAUUGACGCUGAGGCUCGAAAGCGUGGGGAGCGAACAGGAUUAGAUACCCGAGUAGUCCCAUGA
Molecule: ribosomal RNA, 474 nt
Filed under: uncultured organism
Description: partial 16S ribosomal RNA
Rfam family: Bacterial small subunit ribosomal RNA
Source: RNAcentral